CCCUCUUAUAAUAGUUCCAGGAUGGAUUUGAAUUUGUGAUUGCUCUUUGACCAAAUGGAUUCUGCUCCACAUACUUCCUAACAUCGUCGGCCAAAGCUAAGCUUUCUAGGUAGACCCGCAGGUCACCUCCAGGUCCUGCAUAAAGGAUUAAUUUGCGAAUGAAAUAGUUAGAGCACUGAUGAAAAACUGCAACAACUGAGAGAAUGAGAGCAUUAUCAGCUACUGGAUGAUCUUUUUCCAAGAAAGAUAUAAAAAGCCUAACGAUACAGUAACAGAUAAGAGGUAGCAAAAUAAUGCACAAGGUGACCUGUUGACUUGCCAAAUUUGCAAGUAUUACGAUAGGCCAGAAAAAGUUUGAUCUAUAGCUUACUCAGCCGGGAUCAUAAGAUUCCAUGAGCUUGGGGAAAUCUGGAAAUUUUAGGGACAACAGUAAUAACAAAUUUAUGGGCAGACAACCAAGUAGAUUUGCACGUCUGCUGACAAACAAAACUUUCAACAGAUCAAAAGGCGAUAUCUCAUACCUCUGGCACAGUAGAAUAAACAAAGUGCCAACUAUAUGAAUGUCCAGGAUGAUGAACUCAACAGAGCAAAUAAUUGACCAAGUUUAUGUCACUAUGCUGUCCCCGGUCAAUUUAUACAUGAAAAGACUAAAAGAAAGCACUCGCUAUCGAUUCAGCUAUCCAUUGCACCCUUUUAGAAUGCACAACAGAACGGUAAUUAGAGCAUUUUCAAAAGAACUAUCAUUUAUUCAGCUACCUGCUAUGGCUUCUUCGUGAGAUCAUUCCAUGCAUCCUAAAUAAAACAUAAAAAAAAAGAUCUAUGCGAAGGUGCCUGAAGAAAUAAUGUUGUCGAUAUUUUAAAUUUCUAAAACACAGAAAAUACAUGCAUAUUUUAAUGUCUCUUACCUAUAGAAUUGUCUUUGGCAUCUCUAUAGUGGUAUGAAUAGGGAAAUAUUCCAGUGUUUGCCUGGAUGAGGAUAGGUCCAACAGGGAUAAAGUGACGUUAGUCAUACUGUUUAUGAAUGAAAUCAGCUGUCAAGACGAGAACGCUUAUCUGACUAACCGGAUUGCGAAGGGCUUUGUACGGAGAAUCAUCCAACAACAAAGUGUUUGACUCAUUAUACGCUCCUUUCUCCCAUGGAAGAUUAGGCUCGAGCUUAUCCCACAAUUUCCUAAGUUCCUUCAAAACCAGGGGCUUAUCCCUCUUCUCGAGGGUAGAGAACUUUGUCAUAGUACAGUGAGACUGAUCCUGUACUAAAUCAAUUUCCAUUAAGAUAUGACUGCAAUGAAAUAGAAUCUAAUAAAAGAAAGACUGCAAUAAACUAAAAAUAUAACUGAUAUGAUGUUAUUAUCAUUGAGAUGCAUAAAGGUUGAGACAUUUACUUUUUAACAGGAAACCAAUAGCUACUACAGGAACGGUUACUUGCAGUAGUUUAAGUAUAUGCUUUUACUUGUGAGAUUUUGCGGACCACUGUCAACUGUUCUGAAAGCUUAAGUUGUUAAAUAAGGGUGUCGUUUAAUAUUUAAAUAUUCUAACACUCCCCCUCAUGCUAAGUCUGGUAUUUUUUUUUUUGCCUAGUAUUGGGGAGGCAAAUAUGGUCUAGAAAGAUUUGAACUCAGCACCUCCAGUUCUGAUAGUUCUGAUACCAUGUAAGAUUUUUUAGAACCACUAUCAACUAUUCUAAAGGCUUAAAUUGUUAGAUGAAGGUGUGGUUUAAUAUUUAAAUAUUCCAACAUUACUAAUUACGCAUUGUAAGCAAAACUUUAAUGUACUUACGCAACUUCAACCAAGGACCUAAGGAAAACUACAAUAAGGAAAAGGGGACAUAUCAUGGGGUACAAAGUCAAUUUCCAACUUAACAGGGGAUGUUAAGGAUUUUUAUUAAUGUGAAAGACUAAAAUAUCAUAAAGUUCAUACAAAUAAGGUGAAAUGUGGCUCACUUCCAAGGAUAUACCUAUAUAUUCACAGGAAGGAGCGAUGCAAUCACAAAGUUGAAAGAGAACUUAUUCAUCUAAUCAACUACCUGACAAAGUAUAUAAUCAAGGGAUAAAAUGGACAACUUGAAACAUCAAGAGAAUAUAAUCAGUUGGAAAAUAAAUACUAGGUAUUCAUUCCAUCUGAAAAACAGGAGGCCACAAGAUAAUAGAAGCAAAUAUAGAAAAACUUUCCCACUCUUCAGCUGAAAUUAAAGAGGCAGAUCCUACACUCAGGCUCUUAGUCCCAUUAGCUGUAGAGAUCAAUCUUACACCAAACUGAUGAGGAACUGAAAAGUAGCCCUUGCUCUUUCUUAAUGGUCUGCAGUCAGUCGCCAUCCAUGCAAGAUGAGCAAUGGGACAAAAUGGACACAGACAUAGAAAAGAAAAUCUCCAUGUGAGAGCUGCUUACCCAACAGAAAAGCAAUUUUCUUUUGGAGUCGCCCAUAAUAAAGUCUACAACUGGAUCCACAUUUCUCCUGUAAAAUGAAUAACUAAGACCAUAUAAUGCACAGUGAAUAUUAAAGCUGGGCAAACUUUAUUGUGAAGUGACACACACCCACCCACAGAACACUAGGUUGUCAGGAUGGGGAUCCCAAGUAGGAUCCCUUCGCAAUCUUCAACGGUCAGAUAAAAAAUCAUAAGAUCCUACAACUUCAUUGAAAUGACCCUAAAAUAUGAAAUGCUUAGUUAACUCAGUAUUGUGAAGUGACACACACCCACCCACAGAACACUAGGUCAUCAGGAUCGGGAUCCCAAGUUGGAUCCUUUCGCGAUCUUCAACGGCCAGAUAAAAAAUCGCAAGAUCCUACAACUUUAUUGAAGUGACCCAAUGCUUAGUUAACUCACUGUAAUUAGAUGCAUAUUAACCUUAAAAGGAGGUAUUGAAGCUCCAAGGCAUGGUUCCCUUGUGAGAGAACACUUGGGUAUAAAUUCUCCGUUGCCAGUUUUUCAACUAACAGUUGAAGCACCAUGUCAAGAAAAUUAAGAAAAUGUAAAAGAAUGAAAUCUCCUUCCCCUAUUUUUCUUUUAUGUUUUCCCCACUUGCCAUUUGUCUAUCAGCUUCACUUGAGGUGGAUUCAAUAGGAUCACAACAAUCUCCAUGACAAUCAAUGAAAAGGCUGCAUAAAGAUCCCUUUCCCGCCUUUUCCUCAUAUCUAAUCCUUCAUUUUGUCCUCCUCUCUGGUCAUACACAUACCUUCUCUUUCUUUAUUUCACAGGACAAAACCAAUCUCAGAUCCACACUCUCUGAUUUACCUCUCUUUUAUCCUCUGUAACGUACCUCACUUUCACUUGCUAUUCGUGGGUUUUCAGUUCUUUAGCCUUUAGCUUAAGAGGUCUAAUCAGUACAAAUCCAAACAAAUUACGCUACUGGGCCAAGUAAAAUAGGGUGCCAAUUUCUUAAGGAUGUUCCAGAGGUAAUCUCUCUCCUCUGGUUGCAUAAGGAUGGAAGCUUUGCCUCUCUAGUCUCCAAAGGAUGGUACAAUUAAGAGAGCCAGAGGUAGUUGAUACUCGUCUCAUCAUUGACUCGAGACUGAAGAAGAAGUAGAAGGAGAUGAGUGUCACUGCUCUGCUUUGUUUUCUACUGUGCAUUUAUGUCCAUCUUUUUUCUUAGUUCUCCAAGCUGUAUAUUUUCCAAAUAUGGAUUGAAAACAUUAUUUAAGAAGAAAGUGGCCCCCAUGGGCUAGAAGGAAGGAGGUCUAAUUUCAUGUUUGCUCUGCCUGAAAAGACAGACUUCCCUCCUAAAGCUGGAUCAGUGGAAUCGUAGUUGGGAUGGCAAUCCCACCCAAUCCUAUGAUCUGGAUCACGAUCCCAACAGACUACAAUUUUUAUUACAAUCCAGAUUGUUCAAAGGUUUUUGAGUACCAGGAUUGUACGACCAUGAUCCUACAAUCUAUAUUGUGAUCCUAACAACCACGUGUGUGUGCAGAGAGAAGAGUCUUGUAAUAACGCUAAAGGAAUUACAAGGAUGAGAAGACUGCAGGUCAUAGACUGAACAACAUACUUUGUCCUUGAAGACCAAACCCCAACAGCAAAUUUCUCAAAGCAAAAUUGUACAAAAUCAUCAACAAAGGGCCUUUUGAAUACUGCAAGAGCGAACAAUGAGUUAGAACAAUGAUAUUAGAUUACAUAAAAAAUAUCAACCUUUCACGAAUUCUCAACUCUUUACCUGCUUUUCUUGACACAAUUAAGUCUGGUUUACAUCCCAAGCCAACAUAUGGAAUUAUAUCUGCCAACAGUCCAUUCAGAUCAAGUAUAAGAAGCUUUUUUCUAGAAGGUCCAAUGCUAGUCCUCUCUAACGAUAUAUCCGGAAUUUGCCAAGGCAUGCUUCCAUUGUUGAUAUUAAUAUCUGAUUUAAUAUCACCUUCAGAUACCAACAAUUCUGACGAAGGAUUUCCUUCAUUGAUCUGCCUCUUUACCUUGCCACCAUUUCCAUUUGAGUUCUCACAUGAAGAAACACGCCCAGAAUCAACUGAAGCCUCUGCUUUCGAAGUUUUUAUGGAAGCCUGCGCUAAUGUAACUUGUAUCCUUUCUUCUACUUGUUCUGGUUUACUGUCUGAAAGACGAGAGAUGCGAGCUUCAUCAGAAUGAAAGGAAGUCUCUUUAUGUACAAGGUCCUCAGAAAUGUCCGCACUUCCUGUUGUUAACUUUGAUGAUGGUUUUUUCCUAUGAUCGGUUUUGAGCUUUUUGACACUUUUCUUCUUUGAAGAGGUACUCAUACUGCUGAAAUCACUCAAUAAGGUAUGAGCUUCUCCAUGUACAUCUUCUUUUUCUAAUGAACACAAAUUCUUCUCAAUGUCGCUUUGCUUAACACAGGUCGAGGAAAAUUCCUUCAGAGUAUUUUCAUCCAAUUCAGCGAUUUGUGGAACAUCAUUUGGGAUUUUAGUGAGCGUAUCACUCUUCCCAGAGACCUUCUCCUUGGCUUUUGCCUCUUUUUUCCUCAUCCUCCACAACUUUCUCUUCUCCUUCUUUUUCAUUUGCCUUUUGGUAAGGCAGUUUGCUUCACCAGUUGGUUGGAUCUUCUCAUGUUCCAAUAUUUGAUGGGAAUUGCCAGAGGAACAUGUUAUAUUAUAUUUAACGUCCAGCUCAUUAGCUUGCAGUACAGAACAUGGGACUUCUGCACCAGUAUCACCUUGAGUAGUGCUUGUUUCCUGGAUCUUUCUUUUCUUCUUCUUUUUCUUCUUCUUUCUGUUUGCAGGUAAAGGAUUUAAUUCAUUGCAUGGCUGAGCCUUAGAAUCAGCUGAGGAAGGUAAAGAAAUAAUCACAUUCAGCAGGGCUGAGCUUGAAUCAGCUGGGGAAGGUAAAGAAAUAAUCACGUUCACCGAUGAAUUUUUCUCUGGAAAAUAAUUCUCUUUAUCCAUCCCAAGAUUUGAAACAUUUCUAUUACUCUCCUCCCUCUUCCUUUUUCUCUUCUUGUCCACUACUGAGCUACUACCACUGCACGGCUCUGCCUCCAUAACUUAUUUAAGAAUAAUAAUUGACCCAAGACACUGAACUAUUACUCCAACCCAAAAGCCUAGCGUCCUAACUUUGCAGUCUGGUCCCUCAUCACAUCCUAUUGGAGAUUUAUUCAUGGACAAUGAUCUCUUCUUUCAAAGCAGGGCAAGAAAAUUUUCCCAGAGAUGGAUACUUAAGUUAUUUCAAUCCUUAAUGCCCCUUUGACCAUUCCAAAGCUGUAACAUGGAUGUGAAUGAAACCAGCACAUAAGUUCGAAAUAUAUGCCUUCAAAUACCUUCCCCACAGUAAGAUGCAAUCAGUCAGUUCUACUAAAACACCUAAUUCUCUGAUUGGGGAGAAAAAUAAAACAAUGGAGAAGACUUAAAGCAGUAAACUAGGCCAAGAAACGAUGCUAAAUCUAAGGCCAUUCAAAAUUCUUUUCAAUUAAGCAACUAUUUCCUGCAUGCGCGUUAUCCCUUCUUGCGUCCAUUCUCAUGUGCAUGAACUUAAAUCUAUCAGAUGUUGCUUAUCCUAACAUAAUGAAAUGGGAAUUCAGAACUCAUAUCACCAUAAAACAAUAAUGUUGAAGCUAAUUGACAUUUUCACGCAUAGAAAUUAUCCUCAAUGGUAACUGAAACUAAGUAACCAGAUCCUACUCAGACAAUUUCUAAAAAAAGAAAGUUCUCUUACAAAUACCAAUUCUUCAUCUGGUUUACUGCCCCAAUAUAUUUUCAUAUUUGAAUGCCACUCUGUUUCCUACUCAACCAAUUCAAGAUAUUGCUUCAGCAGCAGACAAGUACCAAAACCACCUAUGACCCAUCUACAAAGCCACAAGCACUAAUACAUCAGUUUGAGGUACGUUCACAUGAAAGUCAAAGAGAGAAACACACAAAACACCCAGCUUUUCCUUUUGAUUACCUCAAGGGGCAGCCACACAUGCCAAAUUAGUAAUUAUGUCAUCUACACACAUGAAUUGUAAAUCCCAGCUGAGAAAUGGAGAGAUCACAAUCAUGAAGAUUAUGGCAAUCAACAAUACUCCAAAUAAAAAUAGAGAAUCUCCCACUUUCCCAGUCUUCCAUACAAGUUCUCAACAUAUUUAGUCAACAGGAACUCGGAUUCGAAUAAGACAUACUCAGUUUCUUCACUUUCUCGGAUAUUUGAUUAACUCACAUGAUGAAAGAAAUCAUUCACAGCUACAAAAAACUAGUAAAAUCUAAGAUGCAAAACAACCGCUGCCACGAGGAGUUCGCUCUUACUCUGAUUAACCAGAGGAACAGUUGGCUGGUUAUUAGCCUAAGGAGUUCAUUACUUCACUACUGUGACGUCAAAUGCCCGAAGCACAUUAGCUUCACAUCCCCCACCUACAGAUAAAAUGACCCUAAUAAUAAUGAAGCAAAUUAGCUUCACAUCUUCCCCCCUACACAUAAAAUGAGCCCACUCCAAAGCAUGUAUCUCCAAAAGCAUCGUCACGUGCAGAACAACAGAAGCGGGUGCUUGUCAGACCCAGAACCCACUUCGCAAAUUUCAACCUUGACGAGGAAAACCACCAAUCUAAGAGCAUCUUCAGACACCCUUUCCCUCCGAGCAAGACUCUAAAGGGACCCACGUCGACUAAAACAAGAAACAGGCAGAAACAACACCGACCCAGAACCCCAAAAACCCAAAAAAGCUCCAAAACCCCACAGCCCCCCUUCCCUUGGUCUCAAACGAGACCGCAGAAACACGCCAAGACACGAAACACGUAACAGAUUGACGUAAAUAGUAGAGAAGAGCACGCAGGAAGGGGUAAACGGUGAGUGGAAAGAAGAGCCCCGCCCUCACCUUCUUCUCCUCUUCCUCGCGUCCUUCAGCUCGGAUCAGAAGCCAACAUGGCAGGAAACGAGAGAAUGCCUCCUCUUGCUUGAAAUCCGUGCUAGUACAGGGUGGUCACAUCUUUCGAAUCGAGCUGCGACUCAAUGAGUGAGUUCGACACUGAGUGGCGCGCCGAAUCGUGGGCGACUCGCCGGUUUCUCGCCCGGCAAGAAAAGAACACGACAUUGAUCUACGUUCCUUACAAGUUUCGCCUUAAAUUUGAAACCUUAAGUUAUUUUUUUUUUGUUUCAUUUUUAAUUAAACAAAACAAAAAUUAUUACAACAAUAAUAAUAAACAAGUUUGCCAUUCAUCAAAGAAACUACAAAAUGAACAAAACUAUCAAUCAAAGAAAAUGAAUUGUUGGCAAGGAAUUCAAUUAAGUAAAUUUAUUUGAAACUUGGAACCUAUCUAUUAGAACAAAUUCCUCAUUUUUGGGAACUUAAAAUCUACUUUAUAUACCCUAAAACUUGGAAUCUAUCUUAUCAUAGGUUCCAAGGUAUACUUAGGUUCCACUUAUAUUAUUAUUUGAACUAUUACUAUUCAAUAAUCAUAACUUAGAUUUAAAUACACGAAAAAUAUGAACCUUAAUAAGGUAUAAAUCUUAGCCAUAAAAUGGAAACUCGGACUAAUGCUUUCAAAUUAUACACUCAUCAUUGAAUAUCAUAAAAUAUCGGAAGAUCGCACGGAAAUAUGAAUAAAAAAAAUAUUAAAACUUGUUUCAAGUUCUAAGUUCCUCAACCUACCCAUUAAAAUAUAUUCCUCAUUUUUUAGAAUCUAAAACCUACCCCGCAUAUUUUGGAACCUGAAACCUACAUAUUCCUAUCAGUCUAGUUCUCAAGUUCCAAGUUUUGCCAUGGAACCAUGUUCACCCUUAGUGUGGCUCGACUAAAAAAUUCUCAAUUAUUUUUUUUCCAAAAAAAAAAAUUAUUGCUUUCUCUAAUUUCAUCUAUCCAUUUUUAAAUUAAAUAAUUAAAUUCUCUUGGUUGAUUUUUUUUUUUAUCGAAAAUUUCUCUUGGUUGGUUAAACAUUCAAUAUUCGAGUCGCAAACUGUAUCAUUAAGGCAUUGUUUGGUAACCAUCAAAACAGUGUCUGAUUCUAAUUUUUUGUUCCCAGAAUCAAUUUGGGAACAGAAUCGCGUUUGAUAAAUUUUUUGUUCUCAGAAUCAGUUUGGGAAUAGAAUUGCGUUUGAUAAAUUUUUUGUUCUCAAAAUCAAUUUUGGACAAAAAUUGAGAAUAAAAAAAAAAAUAUGAUUCUCAGUCUGAGAAUCAAAAUUCUUCUUCUUCUCUUUUCUUCUUCUUCAUCGAUCGCCAUCCCACGACCGUCACCCGCCGCCGCCAUCCGCCGUCCAUCGGUUGUCGGCAACCUAUCCGGCGAGCUCGCUGGAGGAUUGCUAGGCAAAGGCGAGGUCCGGCGAGCUCGCCGGAGGCUUGCUAGGCCAAAGCGAGGUCUGGCGAGCUUGCCGGAGGCAAGCACAGCCCCGUCGGUGGCCAGGCGGGCCUCACCCAGCCCCGGCGAGGCUCACUUGGCCACCAGCGAGACUCACCCAACCCCGCCAGUGGCCAAGCAGGCCUCGCCCAGCCCCGGCGAGGUCGGCCUAGCCACCGGCGAGGCUCGGCCAACGAGGGCCAGCGACGCUCCAAUGAGGUCGCCGGCCCUCAUCUGGCCGAUCGCUGGACCGGCGACCGCCCUAAAGAAGAAGAAGAAUAGGAGAAAAAAGAAAAAAAAAAGAAAAAAUUAUUUAAAAAUUUAAAAAAAUGAUUUGGAACAGAAUCAAUGAACACGGUACCAAACACAAUUCUAUUCCAGAAUCAGAAAUUUUGUAUAGUUACCAAACGCAUUUUUUUACUUAGAAUCAGUUCCCGGGAACAGAAUAAAAAAAAAAAAAUCAUUUCUGAUCAGAAUUUGUUCCCGGGAACAAAAUCAUUACCAAACGCGCCCUAAAUGUCUUUAUCCAAGCCGGUUCAAAUGUGCCUCCAGUAGUUUCCAACUCGAGCUUGAUUAGGAAAAUUAGCGAGCCGCCAAGCCCACCAUCGGCUCCAUUCUCAAGUACUCGUCUAACAUUUAGCGAAUUCGAUGGCCCCUCUCUAUGUGCAGAGUACUAAAUUACAUGCUCAGGAGAUGAUUUGAUUCAAACAAUGAGGAACUUUAAAAAUGGGAAACAUAAUAAGCAUGUCCAGAAAACUAUCAGUUUGAGUUAAAUAGAAAAUCUGGUGUCAUUCUAAGUAUACCAUAUAAUAUUUUCCUUUUUGGCUUAUAGAUGAGUGAACCUACCAUAUUGUAGUAAAUUGCACGUUACGGUUUUGGAAAAUAAAAUGUUCAUGGAAGAUAACUUAGACAAUUAUAUUAACUAACUAUUCAAAUUAAGAUUUCCACCCAUCUUGCCAUAUCGAUACUAAUAAAACACGUCUUAACAAAAGAAACAUGCAUUAUCGGGUGAUAUUAUCUGAACAUACAUGCUCACAACGAGGAAUAAGACCGUCAAGUCUCUCGUCACGGAACCUUGGCAACACCUUCACAAAGACGAAUCAACUUUCGGAGCAAAAACUUCCAGAGGAGGAUGUACUACUUUCAGGAUCAAGUGAAGCUUUUUACAUGAAUCCACAAAAAAGCGUGACCCGAAUCGAGCAAUAUGUAAACGGGCUCUGUAGCCUCUAUGGACAAAAUUCUCCCGAGACUGCUAAUCGAGACACCCUCUUCUCGGUUCGGUAAGUGAGAACUUUUUUCUACGGCGAGAGUACGUGAAUCACACAGCUUUCCUCGUCCUCUGUAGUUACUCGGUGAAAUACCUGAAAGGCUGAGAAAAGUAUUGAGUUCAGUUUUGUCGAUGAAGUCAUAACCCAUAAUGCGUGCAUUUACGAAAUGAGAGAUUAGUCCCAUCCAUAUGUGUAUACAAGAAUGGCAGAAGAUGAGAUACCAAUUAAUAUGAACAAAGGGAAAACGAAAGCAUGUGAGUACUGACGCUGGAACCGCGAUGCGAAAAAAAUUGUAAAGCAAAUUUCGUGUUGAAAUGCACAUUAGAAAGCGCAUUUUGCAGCUCGGAAGAACGUACUGAUGUCAAAGACACUACUAAUUUGCAUUUCCUCGAUCUACAUUUAACUUCAAUGCUGUCCUUGCAGUAACUAGGUGCUUUCUCUUUCCCUAACCUCAAAAUCAAUUUUCACUCCCAUCCAUAGACUAGAGCAAACGGUUGGUGGGUUGAAAUAUCUGUUCAACAUCAUUUCAACAUCCAAAUUGUCCACAGCUCAGCCAAACCUCUGGUAUGAUAGAUACAUAUGGCCUUGAAAUCCAUCAGUUUCAUAUCUACGCGUUGACAUACUUAUCAACGUAUCCCUGCAAAAGCACCAACAAGGUGGCAUUAGGUAACCAUGCCAAAAUAUAAUCAUGUAAUGCAUUUGCAGGAUAUCUGCAAAUUGCUUCCAUCAGGCUGUUAGUGUGCGGAAAGGUAAAAAAUGCUUAAUGUAACUUCUCCUCACUGGAAUUUCGGUAAAUCUAUCUGCUUAGAAGUGUGAGUAAUUGUACCGGGACUUACCAUCACAAGUUUUGUAAGCUUGCGUUGUGAAGAAUCAAUGUAGUGAUUUAUCUUUACUUGAGAUUUCGGUAUGUGGUGGCUCUUCAUAGCUCCAGUAACUUUGUUGACAGUUUUCUUCACAAUAGUCUUAAAUGCCUCUUUGCUCAUAUUCCCUUGCCGCCAUGAUGGCCGUAGGACUUCCCUCACAAAAUCUGCAAGGGCAAUUUUGAAAAGCUUCAUUGACCUAGAAUCCUUGCGCUUCUUGCUCUUCCCAGGGAAUUUAAUCUGAUCAAUCUCCAUCUCAACCUCGGUCGCAUCUGCUGCAUCAAUAGCAUUGCUGACGCUUGCAUUCUCAACUGCACCAACUUCCACUCCUGCAGUCUCACCAAACCCAUCAUCAUCUACAGAUAUGGAUGAAGCAAAGGCUCUAAUCUCUUUCCUUUUAUUGUUCUCUUCCACAUCUACUGGCAUAUUUGAAUCACUGUUCCUCAAAAUGACAUCGCUAUCAUCAACUGAUUCCCCCUCAUGUGCGCGAUCAACUUUCUUGACUGAACUUGAAAAGGGUUCAAUACUGUCAAAAAGUGGAUCAUAUCGAUCACCACCAAUAUGUGGUAAAGCCCAGUCCAUCCACGUGGCAGAUUUUGGUGAGGAAGUCGUUUGUCUUGAUCCAACACUGCCGGUGCCGAUUCCAUCAACCGAUGCAUGACUGAAAGGGAAAGCUGUGUUAUAUCUACUGUGGUAUUCAAAAAAUUUUCAUCAUGUAUAAAGAUAGACACCAUCUAUAACUUGACUGUCAAAACAGAAAGUUUUUCUCACCCCAAAAAACAAAACAUCAUCUGAUAUGACAACAGUUACAGCUCUAUUCUAGAUGAACUUAACAUUCCUAGGGGCUGCCAGGCAACAUGUACAUGCUUGUUUAAUUAAGAAUUAAACAAGCUUGAACAAAAAAGAUGUUCAAGUUGUCAAAACAAGCUGUCAUCCAAGUGAAGGACAAGAAAUGUACUCACUUCGAUAUAGAAGUAGCAUCUUCAGGUGGGUCUGAAGCCAACACCCUCUUAUAAUAUUUCCAGGAUGGAUUUGAAUUUGUAACUGCUCUUUGACCAAAUGGAUUCUGCUCCACAUAUUUCCUAACAUCGUCAGCCAAAGCUAAGCUUUCUAGGUAGACCCGCAGGUCACCUCCAGGUCCUGCAUAAAGGAUUAAUUUGUGAACAAUAAAUUAGGGCACCAAUGAAAAACUGCAACUGAGAGAAUGAGAGCAUCAUCAGCUACUGGAUGAUCUUUUUCUGAGAAAGAUAUAAUAAGCCUAACCAUAAAGUAGCAGAUAAGAGGUAGCAAAAUAAUGCACAAGGCGACCUG
Molecule: long non-coding RNA, 12127 nt
Filed under: Eucalyptus grandis
Lineage: Eukaryota; Viridiplantae; Streptophyta; Magnoliopsida; Myrtales; Myrtaceae
Description: long non-coding RNA (EGRA_LNC000460)
Source: RNAcentral